GAUGAACGCUGGCGGCGUGCCUAAUACAUGCAAGUCGAGCGAACAGACGAGGAGCUUGCUCCUCUGACGUUAGCGGCGGACGGGUGAGUAACACGUGGAUAACCUACCUAUAAGACUGGGAUAACUUCGGGAAACCGGAGCUAAUACCGGAUAAUAUAUUGAGCCGCAUGGUUCAAUAGUGAAAGACGGUUUUGCUGUCACUUAUAGAUGGAUCCGCGCCGCAUUAGCUAGUUGGUAAGGUAACGGCUUACCAGGGCGACGAUGCGUAGCCGACCUGAGAGGGUGAUCGGCCACACUGGAACUGAGACACGGUCCAGACUCCUACGGGAGGCAGCAGUAGGGAAUCUUCCGCAAUGGGCGAAAGCCUGACGGAGCAACGCCGCGUGAGUGAUGAAGGUCUUCGGAUCGUAAAACUCUGUUAUUAGGGAAGAACAAAUGUGUAAGUAACUAUGCACGUCUUGACGGUACCUAAUCAGAAAGCCACGGCUAACUACGUG
This 497-nucleotide ribosomal RNA is filed under the name uncultured bacterium. Its description in RNAcentral is "partial 16S ribosomal RNA". It matches the Rfam family "Bacterial small subunit ribosomal RNA", at positions 28 to 507 of the family's 1533-position model. The record is from RNAcentral.